GAAAGAGAGGAGGGGAGAGAGCUCAGUUGUGUGCACCAGACAAGCACAUGAGCCUUUAGUUCAGCUUCUGCAAGGAAGCUGACGCCUAACCCAGCCAGCAAACAGUGGUGAAGGGUGGAGGUCUAGCGGCUGCUCAGCUCUGCGCGUUGGCCCAGAAACACUUGUAGCCUUGGGAAAACCUGGGAGCUAGAUUUCCUGGCCACUUCAGAAGAGAGAAAUUAGUUGCUAGGGGCCUGAAAACAGUCCUAACUUGCUAAAGCUGAACUCCUCUUCCUGUGAGUAUGGAACUUAUGCACUCAUUGUGGUUGCAAAAGUAGUUGAGUGGGGAGUUCUCAUCUCUUGCAGAAAUGAGGGUCUCCUCCGAAGAUCUCUAAGACCAGGGGUGCCCUAUCCCAGGGCUUCCCAAACUCUAAUGGACCCACCACUUAUGGCGAUCUUCAUAGAAUAGCUCGAUCCUGAUUCUUAGACCCAGGGUGGACCUAGGAAUAUGCAUUUCUCAGAAUUUCCCAGGCUGUGCCCAGGCUGCUCAUCUAGUCGGAGUAACACGGCCAUCAGGCAUGUGGGAAAACGGCGUCCACACAAACUUCCCUCUACCCAGGCUUUUCCAACUGGGAAGGAGCUUUGCCAACUGCAAAAUGCUUUCUCAAGGUUUGUUGCCAUUAUGACAAGAAACUCAGAGAACAAGGAGAAGGAUCCAGGGACUGAAGACCUCUGGUGCCAUUUUUUUGAGCCUGGGGAAGGAGACCCCAGGAGACUGCUACUACCAGAGGCUUACUGUUACAUUGUUAUAUCAUUAACCAAUGUUCCCAAUCACAACCCCAGAUGAGAUUACCACUAUGCCCAUUUUACAGAUUAGGAAAUCAAGGCUUAAAGUGAGCUGGUUUCUGAACUGGGAGAGUGUGGAGCCAGAGAUCUCAAUCCUUCUUGGAUUUCAGGCCGAGGAGGGAGAAAACGGCUUCUGACCUUGCAGGUUUCAAUAGAAGAGCAAACACGAAGGGAAGAUAAGGAGACGCCAGUGAGAUUCUAUGACCUGUCAUUAGGGAUGGGCUUCCCAGCUAUCAAAUGUUUGCUCACAUAAUAAAAUGGUGGCAGAGACUUAAA
Molecule: long non-coding RNA, 1101 nt
Organism: Chinchilla lanigera (long-tailed chinchilla)
Lineage: Eukaryota; Metazoa; Chordata; Mammalia; Rodentia; Chinchillidae
Exons: 2
Source: RefSeq, a predicted model, not a curated record